Molecule: ribosomal RNA, 253 nt
Filed under: uncultured bacterium
Lineage: Bacteria
Description: partial 16S ribosomal RNA
Rfam family: Bacterial small subunit ribosomal RNA
Source: RNAcentral
UACGGAGGGUGCGAGCGUUGUCCGGAAUCACUGGGCGUAAAGGGCGCGUAGGCGGCCUGAUAAGUAGGGGGUGAAAUCCUGCGGCUUAACCGCAGGGCUGCCUUCUAAACUGUCAGGCUGGAGCACAGUAGAGGCAGGUGGAAUUCCAGGUGUAGCGGUGAAAUGCGUAGAUAUCUGGAGGAACACCGGUGGCGAAGGCGGCAUCCUGGACCAAUAUUGACGCUGAGGAGCGAAAGCCAGGGGAGCAAACGGG